AAGCCUCGCUUUUUUGCUGGUAGACGCACACCAUCACAUCCUACAUAAUAUUUAGCUCUGAGGCGUUUCCAGAUGGGAAGUGCGUUUCUGUAUUUUCAUAGCCGUGUUCUCUACGUGAAUGGACUGGCGUGAAGCUGGGGGCUGACGGCUGGCAGGGCAGAACAACUUCCAGUAAAAGAAGGCACUGAGGUUUAAGUGCUACGUGGGAGCAGUUGCCGAUUUUUGCAAUGGGAGGCUGCAUAGAUUCAAGGACUUCCUUGAGUGCUCCAGGAGCUUGUCAUUCCAGAGACAGAGCAGCCCAGAAGUCCUGGGAUUUACACCUCUAGUAGAAACCCUCAACCAGAGAAGGAUGGAAGUCAAUGGGUGGGUUGGGAAGCUCCAUUCUGUAUCACCCUCGCUCAAGGACCUGGACUGAAGGAUUUCUGCUUUCAAGAAGAAAAAAAAAAAUAGAAGACAUGUUUACUAAUACACUGGUAAUUAUUUCUAUUCAUAUUUUAUUGGCCAAAGCGAGUCAUAUGGGUAUACAACAUAAAAUGAGGUGCAGAAUUUCAAUCCUAUCAUUUGCUUGGAAGGUGGAGAGUCAUAUUUGGAGAACAUGAGUUCUAUAAUUGUUGGAUGUAACAGUCUAUACAUGUCCACUAAGUCAAGUUUGCUAAUCGUGUUUAAAUAAUCUAUAUCCUUACUCAUGUAUCUGUUCACUUCUUGCAGUUUUGUCAAUCUUAGUUUUAU
Molecule: long non-coding RNA, 729 nt
Filed under: Homo sapiens (human)
Lineage: Eukaryota; Metazoa; Chordata; Mammalia; Primates; Hominidae
Description: non-protein coding lnc-ARHGAP26-4:28
Source: RNAcentral